This is a long non-coding RNA of Quercus robur (English oak), 285 nucleotides long. RefSeq lists it as uncharacterized. The record is from RefSeq and is a predicted model, not a curated record. Lineage: Eukaryota; Viridiplantae; Streptophyta; Magnoliopsida; Fagales; Fagaceae. The transcript is spliced from 2 exons.
GAUGAAGGAAAAAGUUAAGACCAACUCCUUUUGCCUGUGAUUUGAAAAUUCAAGAGCUAAAAGCAUGAUUUGCGGGUGAAGAUAGAGAUAUAGAGUGAAAGAGGGACUAUAUUUUGUUUACAGAUGAAGAGCUCUCGAGCUAAGAUUUAUAUGGGCUCUCAUUCAAGCGGCCACACUUCUUUUGCUCAAAAUUACGUUGGAUCAUUGAUUUUUAGUUUAUGACAUUUGAUUGGCAGCUGAGAAAUGUAUAUAUUUAUAGAGAAAGGGAAAAGUUUGAAAUUUUGU